Non-coding RNA from Schizosaccharomyces pombe (fission yeast), 579 nucleotides. Lineage: Eukaryota; Fungi; Ascomycota; Schizosaccharomycetes; Schizosaccharomycetales; Schizosaccharomycetaceae. The record is from the annotation of a GenBank genome assembly.
UGCAAAAUCAGGGUCUUAUGUCUUUUUAUACCUCAAUCAAUAAUCUUAUCUGUUCAGGCUAGCGAGACUUCUUUUCAAUCAGAUCAUUUUAUAAGCAUCUAUUCAUAUCUCCUAACACUCAUGUUUACAAGCUAGUUGAUGCACACUGUAUCUAUAGCCAAACAAAAAAUCUGGGUUUGCACUCUUCAAACAUACCUUAUCCACAAAUGCAUUUUCUGGUAAUUAUCGGUCGGCUUCUUUUUAAAAAGUAAAGCUCAGAAUCCUACAUCUGCGGAUAUCAUAUUUUUGAGCAGGCAAAUUCAUCAUCGUGUUAUAUUUUUGGUUUAUUCAACUUUAUCCUCUAGUUACUGAUAAAAAUUAGCAAUUUAGCUAUAUCUUGUCAAAGCUACAUACCAAAUCGUACCUUGAUUUUAAUUUACUAAAAUCGGUUUUGAAAUUGAUGUAAAAAUCAUAUGAAACUUUGAAAUGCACGAAAUCUUCAAAAACAAUUAGUGUUAUUCUUACGUCUUACAAUAGCCAAAGGACAAAGGAGUCAAACAUUGUUAAUAAAAUAAAAUAAAAUAUAUUCCAAUCAACUAG